This 253-nucleotide ribosomal RNA is filed under the name uncultured bacterium. RNAcentral describes it as "partial 16S ribosomal RNA". It matches the Rfam family "Bacterial small subunit ribosomal RNA", at positions 524 to 776 of the family's 1533-position model. The record is from RNAcentral.
UACGUAGGGGGCUAGCGUUGUCCGGAAUCAUUGGGCGUAAAGAGCGUGUAGGCGGCCCGGUAAGUCCGCUGUGAAAGUCGGGGGCUCAACCCUCGAAUGCCGGUGGAUACUGUCGGGCUAGAGUGCGGAAGAGGCGAGUGGAAUUCCUGGUGUAGCGGUGAAAUGCGCGGAUAUCAGGAGGAACACCGAUUGCGAAGGCAGCUCGCUGGGACGUAACUGACGCUGAGACGCGAAAGCGUGGGGAGCAAACAGG